GGUUAUUAACUAACUCUAUCCUAGAGUUCUACCUGUUAAAUAGCCCAGCCUAGAGAGUCAAUCCCUUGUGCCAAUUCCCACAAGGAAUCAAACUGCUGUCUUACUUUUUUCCUGUCAGCUCCCAGCAAUUAACUUUCUAACCUACACCUCCACUGAAACUCAACUGCCACUCUCCAACUCUGACUCUGACUGAAGCUCAACACCAACUGAAGCCCCCUUCCUUCUCUUCCCUCCUUUCUAAGACUUGGCUCCUCCCAACUUCCACUGGCCAAUCCUAGGAGUCUCCAAAACUCCUCCCCUUUUCAACCAGCCUCACUUAAGAUGGCUGCCUCCCUGGCAUUCCCUCUCAAAAUGGAGGCCUGCCCUACUGUUAUCCAGGCUCCCUUUCCGGCCUACAGAUGGCUUUAAAAGAAAAUGAGGUUGGUUCAAAGAGGAAAAUCUACAGUGGCUCCUCAUGAUGGCUAUAUAACCACCAGAACUGGAUGAGAUCCUCAAGAAGGAAAAAACCCAAAUAGUAUGAGUAAAUCUUAAAAACCUA
Molecule: long non-coding RNA, 538 nt
Organism: Anolis carolinensis (green anole)
Lineage: Eukaryota; Metazoa; Chordata; Lepidosauria; Squamata; Anolidae
Exons: 3
Source: RefSeq, a predicted model, not a curated record